UCAAGCGAACAAGGGCGCAGGGCGAAUGCCUUGGCACUGGGAGCCGAUGAAAGACGUGAUAAGCUGCGAUAAGCUUCGGGGAGCUGCAAAUAAGCAUUGAUCCGGAGAUUUCUGAAUGAGGAAACUCACCUGGGUUCAUACUCAGGUACGUUAUACUGAACUUAAAAAUAGGUAUAUCGAGGGAACCGCCUGAACUGAAACAUCUAAGUAGGGCGAGGAAGAGACAUCAAACGAGAUUCCGUAAGUAGUGGCGAGCGAACGCGGAAGAGGGCAAACCGGAAGUAGAAAUACUUCCGGGGUACGGACCGCAUUUAGGACUUAAGUUGUUAACCGAACGGCAUGGGAAGGCCGGUCAGAGAGUGUGAGAACCACGUAGGUGAAAACGACAAGAGCUGAGCGAGUUCCAGAGUACGGCCAGACACGUGAAACCUGGUCGGAAUACGGGGGGACCACCCUCCAACCCUAAAUACUACCCAGUGACCGAUAGCGUAUAGUACUGUGAAGGAAAGGUGAAAAGCACCCCGGGAGGGGAGUGAAAAAGAACCUGAAACCCUGUGCCUACAAGCACCUAGAGCACGUCAAUGUGUGAUAGGGUACUUUUUGUAGAACGGUCCGGCGAGCGAUUGUAUGCAGCAAGGUUAAGGACUUAAGGUCUGGAGCCGAAGCGAAAGCGAGUUUGAAAAGGGCGUUAAGUUGCAUACAAUGGGCCCGAAACCGGGUGACCUACCCAUGGUCAGGUUGAAGUGGAAGUAAAAUUCCAUGGAGGACCGAACCGACCUCCGUUGAAAAGGCGGCGGAUGAACUGUGGGUAGCGGAGAAAUUCCAAUCGAACCCGGAGAUAGCUGGUUCUCCCCGAAAUAGUUUUAGGACUAGCCUCAAGUUAGAUACCUGGAGGUAAAGCACUGAAUAGCCUAGCGGCCGAGAGGUUAGCGAAGCUUAUCAAACUCAGAAUGCCAGAGUAUUGAUGCUUGGGAGUCAGACAGUGUCAGAUAAAUGUCAUUGUCAAAAGGGAAACAGCCCAGAUCUACAGCUAAGGUCCCAAAGUCAGGUUAAGUGGAAAACGAUGUGAAGAUACGCAGACAACCAGGAUGUUGGCUCAGAAGCAGCCACUCAUUCAAAGAGUGCGUAAUAGCUCACUGGUCGAGCGUCUUUGCGCGGAGAAUUUAACGGGGCUAAACCUGACACCGAAGCUUAGGCAAUACAGCAAUGUAUUGGGUAGGGGAGCGUUGUAUACGCGGUGAAACAGUAGCGCAAGCGGCUGUGGAGUGUAUAGAAGUGAGAAUGCCGGAAUGAGUAGCGCGAAUGCAGUGAGAAUCUGCAUGGCCGAAAGCCUCAGGUUUCUGGAGGAAGGUUCGUCCGCUCCAGGUUAGUCGGGAGCUAAGGUGAGGCCUAACGGCGUAGCCGAUGCACAGACGGUAGAGAUUCCGUCACCACCAAAAGAGUUAAACACAGGGACACAUUUGAAGUCUCGGAGCCGGGUGUUGGUUCCGGUAGCGAUCGAGGGAAAUUAGUACCGAAGUCCGGGAUGGAAGAUGGCGAGAAAAGCUGUGUGUAUUUCUGCGGUGCCCGUACCGCAAACCGACACAGGUAGGUAGGAAGAAGAUUCUAAGGCCAACGGGAGAAGGGUUGUUAAGGAACUCGGCAAAUUGACCCCGUAACUUCGGGAGAAGGGGUGCUCCAGAGAUGGAGCCGCAGAGAAUCGGCCCAAGCAACUGUUUACCAAAAACACAGGUUUGUGCUAAAUCGAAAGAUGACGUAUACGAGCUGACGCCUGCCCGGUGCUGGAAGGUUAAGAGGAGAUGUGCAAGCAUUGAAUCGAAGCCCCAGUGAACGGCGGCCGUAACUAUAACGGUCCUAAGGUAGCGAAAUUCCUUGUCAGGUAAG
Molecule: ribosomal RNA, 1884 nt
Filed under: human gut metagenome
Description: bacterial LSU rRNA
Rfam family: Bacterial large subunit ribosomal RNA
Source: RNAcentral